GGGGAAUCUUGCGCAAUGGGCGAAAGCCUGACGCAGCGACGCCGCGUGCGGGAUGAAGGCCUUCGGGUUGUAAACCGCUUUCAGCAGGGACGAGGCCGCAAGGUGACGGUACCUGCAGAAGAAGCCCCGGCUAACUACGUGCCAGCAGCCGCGGUAAUACGUAGGGGGCAAGCGUUAUCCGGAAUUACUGGGUAUAAAGGGAGCGUAGGCGGCAUGGUAAGUUAGAUGUGAAAGCCCGUGGCUUAACCGCGAGGAUUGCAUUUAAAACUAUCAAGCUAGAGUACAGGAGAGGAAAGCGGAAUUCCUAGUGUAGCGGUGAAAUGCGUAGAUAUUAGGAAGAACACCAGUGGCGAAGGCGGCUUUCUGGACUGAAACUGACGCUGAAGCUCGAAAGCGUGGGGAGCGAACA
Molecule: ribosomal RNA, 409 nt
Filed under: uncultured bacterium
Lineage: Bacteria
Description: bacterial SSU rRNA
Rfam family: Bacterial small subunit ribosomal RNA
Source: RNAcentral